GGCGAUUUAGCUCAGUUGGUUAGAGCGUGUGCUUAACACUAGCAGCCCCUCUUCAAAGAGUGCUGUAGCGUUGCGCACAAGGUCGGCGGUUCGACCCCGUCAAACGUCA
Apiotrichum porosum is the source of this 109-nucleotide non-coding RNA. Lineage: Eukaryota; Fungi; Basidiomycota; Tremellomycetes; Trichosporonales; Trichosporonaceae. The record is from the annotation of a RefSeq genome assembly.